AUUGAACGCUGGCGGCAGGCCUAACACAUGCAAGUCGAGCGUGAAAGGGCUUCGGCCUGAGUAAAGCGGCGGACGGGUGAGUAACGCGUAGGAAUCUACCUGGUAGUGGGGGAGUAACGUUCCGAGAGGGACGGCUAAUACCGCAUACGUUCCGAGGAAGAAAGCGGGGAGUCGCAAGACCUCGCGCUAUCAGAUGAGCCUGCGUCCGAUUAGCUAGUUGGUGGGGUAAAGGCCUACCAAGGCGACGAUCGGUAACUGGUCUGAGAGGAUGAUCAGUCACACUGGAACUGAGACACGGUCCAGACUCCUACGGGAGGCAGCAGUGGGGAAUAUUGGACAAUGGGCGCAAGCCUGAUCCAGCCAUGCCGCGUGUGUGAAGAAGGCCU
This 386-nucleotide ribosomal RNA is filed under the name uncultured bacterium. Its description in RNAcentral is "bacterial SSU rRNA". It matches the Rfam family "Bacterial small subunit ribosomal RNA", at positions 29 to 417 of the family's 1533-position model. The record is from RNAcentral.